Non-coding RNA from Pelobates cultripes (western spadefoot toad), 215 nucleotides. The record is from the annotation of a GenBank genome assembly. NCBI's taxonomy places the organism in Eukaryota, Metazoa, Chordata, Amphibia, Anura, Pelobatidae.
CUUACAUAUCAAUUAUAUCAUAGUGGUUUUUAUUGAGGUUAGGCUUAGUCUUAGAGCUAGGAUUAGGGUCAGGGCUUCUUUUAUGGCUAGGUUUAAUCAUGCUAUGAUUAGUUCUACGAUUGCAUGUUAGGGCAACUACUAAGGGUUAGGAAAGAGGCUAGAGAUUUUUGUUAUGACUUGGGUUAGAGUUCGUCUGUUAGUAAGGUGAGGGUAAG